UGAAAACAGAAGUCUCCCGGCUACUCUUUAAAAAGAAGUUUAGAUCUGUUUGUCUACUCCUUCAGCUCAGCCUAUCCUACCUGUUCCCUCUGCAAAUGCACACGAUGCAGCAGCCAACAGAAAUGAGCCCCGCCCCUCUGUCCCCACACACUGUAAGAGCCGCUCAAUAUCUGGAAAAGAACUGCUGCUGCAAUGCUUUGAGAAACAACAGGGCGCAAAUUACUGGAUGGAUUCUUUAACUUACCAAUCAGAACUGCUGACCUUUUAUGACUCUACGAUUCAAGAAGCCUGCCACACACUCACAGGGCACAGCACUCUGUUUUUACACUCGAAGGCCUUGUCUGACUGUUGCAAAACUACAAAGGAAUGCAUUAAAAGAAUCGUUCAACUCUCCUGCAUUGCUGGUGGGAAUG
Molecule: long non-coding RNA, 413 nt
Organism: Condylura cristata (star-nosed mole)
Lineage: Eukaryota; Metazoa; Chordata; Mammalia; Eulipotyphla; Talpidae
Exons: 3
Source: RefSeq, a predicted model, not a curated record